This 1137-nucleotide ribosomal RNA is filed under the name Triticum aestivum (bread wheat). Its description in RNAcentral is "partial small subunit ribosomal RNA". Lineage: Eukaryota; Viridiplantae; Streptophyta; Magnoliopsida; Poales; Poaceae. The record is from RNAcentral.
AUGAUGUCGCCGCCGACGAACGGCUCCGCCUCGCUUCCCGUGACGGACCUGUCCGACGCGGUACUCUUCCCCUUCGACGGCUUCUCCGCCGACGACUUCUUCGCCACCGCCCCGCCUCCGCUUCCUCCUACUCUCGGCGCCGACCCGGGGCGCCUCCUCCUCGCGUCCUCCCGCAACGACGUCCACGCCUCCACGGACCUGGCCGUCGCGGCGCCCGUGGAGACCACCGGGAGCUCCUCCGCGCUGGCCGCGGCGCUGCCACUGACGCCGAGCUCCGGCCAAAGGACGUCGUGCUACCGCGGGGUGACCAGGCACCGGUGGACCAAACGGUACGAGGCGCACCUGUGGGACAACACGUGCCGCCGCGAGGGCCAGAAACGCAAGGGACGCCAAGUUUACUUGGGUGGCUAUGAAAAAGAAGAUAGGGCUGCUAGGGCAUAUGAUCUUGCUGCUCUGAAAUACUGGGGUGUCAAUGCUACUACUAAUUUCCCUAAAGAAAACUACAUCAGAGAGCUUGAGGAGAUGCAAAACAUGAGCAGGCACGAGCUUGUAGCUUCACUGAGGAGGAAGAGCAGUGGCUUCUCUAGGGGUGCAUCGGUGUACAGAGGUGUCACAAGGCACCACCAACAUGGACGCUGGCAGGCAAGAAUUGGUCGUGUUGCAGGCAACAAGGACUUGUACCUGGGGACUUUCGCAACCGAAGAAGAAGCGGCGGAGGCGUACGACAUCGCAGCGCUGAAGUUCAGGGGCGACAAUGCCGUCACCAACUUCGAGCCCAGCCGGUACAACCUGGAGGCGAUCGCCUGCAGCGACCUUCCGGUCAACGGGAGGCGGAUGAGCAGCCACAAGCCAACAGCGGCAGCAGCACCAGAAGCGCAAGGCGAGAUUACCUUCGUGUCCUCGGCUCCUCCGAUUCCCCAGCAGUCGUGCAGUGACGUGCAAGUGCCACCUUACGUCCUCCACGGCCUUCUGCAGCUCCAGGCCUCUGAGCCCCUGCAUGCUCUGCCGCUUUCGAGCUACAGCUUUGGGGAGCCCAGCUUCUACUGGCCCUUCGGCGACGUGGAGCAGAAGGUGCAGCUUGACAGCAAGGUGGAAGUGGCUGGUGGCAUCCUUCAGCUGGCCAACUCGGCUGUGUAG